GACGAACGCUAGCGGCGGGCUUAAUACAUGCAAGUUUAGGGGUUCAGCAAUGGACACCGGCGGACGGGUGCGUAACACGUAUGCAACCUGCCCUUUACUGGGAGGAUACUCCGGAGAAAUUCGGCACAACACUCCAUAUGCUCAUACUUUCGCAUGGGAGAAAUGAGGAAAGGUUACGGUAAAGGAUGGGCAUGCGUCUGAUUAGCUAGUUGGCGAGGUAAACGGCUCACCAAGGCGACGAUCAGUAGCUGGUCUGAGAGGAUGAUCAGCCACACUGGCACUGAGAUACGGGCCAGACUCCUACGGAGGCAGCAGUAGGGAAUAUUGGUCAAUGGGCGAAAGACCUGAACCAAGCCACGCCGCGUGCAGGAAGAAAGGUCCUCUGG
RNAcentral lists this ribosomal RNA (386 nucleotides) under uncultured bacterium. RNAcentral describes it as "bacterial SSU rRNA". It matches the Rfam family "Bacterial small subunit ribosomal RNA", at positions 28 to 422 of the family's 1533-position model. The record is from RNAcentral.